This 1887-nucleotide ribosomal RNA is filed under the name Salmonella enterica. Its description in RNAcentral is "partial 23S ribosomal RNA". It matches the Rfam family "Bacterial large subunit ribosomal RNA", at positions 1060 to 2925 of the family's 2925-position model. RNAcentral also lists the same sequence under 3 other names. The record is from RNAcentral. Lineage: Bacteria; Pseudomonadati; Pseudomonadota; Gammaproteobacteria; Enterobacterales; Enterobacteriaceae.
UAAGUGGGAAACGAUGUGGGAAGGCCCAGACAGCCAGGAUGUUGGCUUAGAAGCAGCCAUCAUUUAAAGAAAGCGUAAUAGCUCACUGGUCGAGUCGGCCUGCGCGGAAGAUGUAACGGGGCUAAACCAUGCACCGAAGCUGCGGCAGCGACACCGUGUGUUGUUGGGUAGGGGAGCGUUCUGUAAGCCUGUGAAGGUGUGCUGUGAGGCAUGCUGGAGGUAUCAGAAGUGCGAAUGCUGACAUAAGUAACGAUAAAGCGGGUGAAAAGCCCGCUCGCCGGAAGACCAAGGGUUCCUGUCCAACGUUAAUCGGGGCAGGGUGAGUCGACCCCUAAGGCGAGGCCGAAAGGCGUAGUCGAUGGGAAACGGGUUAAUAUUCCCGUACUUGGUGUUACUGCGAAGGGGGGACGGAGAAGGCUAUGUUGGCCGGGCGACGGUUGUCCCGGUUUAAGCGUGUAGGUAUGUGUUCCAGGUAAAUCCGGUUCACUUUAACACUGAGGCGUGACGACGAGGCACUACGGUGCUGAAGCAACAAAUGCCCUGCUUCCAGGAAAAGCCUCUAAGCAUCAGGUAACAUCAAAUCGUACCCCAAACCGACACAGGUGGUCAGGUAGAGAAUACCAAGGCGCUUGAGAGAACUCGGGUGAAGGAACUAGGCAAAAUGGUGCCGUAACUUCGGGAGAAGGCACGCUGACACGUAGGUGAAGUGAUUUACUCACGGAGCUGAAGUCAGCCGAAGAUACCAGCUGGCUGCAACUGUUUAUUAAAAACACAGCACUGUGCAAACACGAAAGUGGACGUAUACGGUGUGACGCCUGCCCGGUGCCGGAAGGUUAAUUGAUGGGGUCAGCGCAAGCGAAGCUCCUGAUCGAAGCCCCGGUAAACGGCGGCCGUAACUAUAACGGUCCUAAGGUAGCGAAAUUCCUUGUCGGGUAAGUUCCGACCUGCACGAAUGGCGUAAUGAUGGCCAGGCUGUCUCCACCCGAGACUCAGUGAAAUUGAACUCGCUGUGAAGAUGCAGUGUACCCGCGGCAAGACGGAAAGACCCCGUGAACCUUUACUAUAGCUUGACACUGAACAUUGAGCCUUGAUGUGUAGGAUAGGUGGGAGGCUUUGAAGUGUGGACGCCAGUCUGCAUGGAGCCGACCUUGAAAUACCACCCUUUAAUGUUUGAUGUUCUAACGUGGACCCGUGAUCCGGGUUGCGGACAGUGUCUGGUGGGUAGUUUGACUGGGGCGGUCUCCUCCUAAAGAGUAACGGAGGAGCACGAAGGUUGGCUAAUCCUGGUCGGACAUCAGGAGGUUAGUGCAAUGGCAUAAGCCAGCUUGACUGCGAGCGUGACGGCGCGAGCAGGUGCGAAAGCAGGUCAUAGUGAUCCGGUGGUUCUGAAUGGAAGGGCCAUCGCUCAACGGAUAAAAGGUACUCCGGGGAUAACAGGCUGAUACCGCCCAAGAGUUCAUAUCGACGGCGGUGUUUGGCACCUCGAUGUCGGCUCAUCACAUCCUGGGGCUGAAGUAGGUCCCAAGGGUAUGGCUGUUCGCCAUUUAAAGUGGUACGCGAGCUGGGUUUAGAACGUCGUGAGACAGUUCGGUCCCUAUCUGCCGUGGGCGCUGGAGAACUGAGGGGGGCUGCUCCUAGUACGAGAGGACCGGAGUGGACGCAUCACUGGUGUUCGGGUUGUCAUGCCAAUGGCACUGCCCGGUAGCUAAAUGCGGAAGAGAUAAGUGCUGAAAGCAUCUAAGCACGAAACUUGCCCCGAGAUGAGUUCUCCCUGAGACUUUAGGUCUCCUGAAGGAACGUUGAAGACGACGACGUUGAUAGGCCGGGUGUGUAAGCGCAGCGAUGCGUUGAGCUAACCGGUACUAAUGAACCGUGAGGCUUAACCUU